UACGUAGGGCGCAAGCGUUGUCCGGAAUUAUUGGGCGUAAAGAGCUCGUAGGUGGCUUGUCACGUCGGGUGUGAAAGCUUGGGGCUUAACUCCAGGUCUGCAUUCGAUACGGGCUGGCUAGAGGUAGGUAGGGGAGAACGGAAUUCCUGGUGUAGCGGUGAAAUGCGCAGAUAUCAGGAGGAACACCGGUGGCGAAGGCGGCUUGCUGGGCCUUACCUGACGCUGAGGAGCGAAAGCGUGGGGAGCGAACAGG
Molecule: ribosomal RNA, 253 nt
Filed under: uncultured bacterium
Lineage: Bacteria
Description: partial 16S ribosomal RNA
Rfam family: Bacterial small subunit ribosomal RNA
Source: RNAcentral